AGCUUUUUACUCUUUGUUCGAUUGAAUGAGAAAAAGUACUCGUCACAAAGUUAUAUUGUUAGGGCGGAACUGAGUAGUCAUUUUUUGUUCCGGUUUUGGUUCUUGUGAAGGUUGACAUCGAUUCGUUCCAAAUUUACACUCUUAGGGCACAAUAGAACAAUAUAAUUAGCUUUUACUCUUUGUUCGAUUAAAUGAGAAAAAGUACUCGUUGCAAAGUUAUACAGUUAGGGCGUAACUGAGUAGUCUACAUUUGUUCCGGUUUAGGUUCUUUCGAAGGUUGACAUCCAUUCGUUCCAUAUUACACUCUCGCGGUAUAAUAAAACAAUAUAAUUAGAUUUUACUCUUUGUUCGAUUGAAUGAGAAAAAUUACUCGUUCCAAAUUUAUGCUGUUUGGCCGCAAUUGAGUAGCUUAAUGUUGUUCCGGUUUUCGUUCUUGUGAAG
Molecule: long non-coding RNA, 441 nt
Filed under: Ananas comosus (pineapple)
Lineage: Eukaryota; Viridiplantae; Streptophyta; Magnoliopsida; Poales; Bromeliaceae
Description: long non-coding RNA (ACOM_LNC039215)
Source: RNAcentral